RNAcentral lists this long non-coding RNA (1116 nucleotides) under Pogona vitticeps (central bearded dragon). RNAcentral's name for it is "lncRNA (ENSPVIG00000025078.1)". The record is from RNAcentral. Lineage: Eukaryota; Metazoa; Chordata; Lepidosauria; Squamata; Agamidae.
UGACCAUGUCACAGUUGUAUAACAGCUUUCAGCUCCUGUCUGUGCAGCAAAACUUGUUUCGGUUAUUCAUCGAGAGAAUUUUUUUUUCAGUUUAAACUACAGACUUUCCUGUCAAAUACACAAUUCUGGACCAAGAUUCUCAAUUGCAAAUAACCAGACCUUUCCUCUCACUUUUACAGGUGGCCUCUUACCUGUCCCACAUGCGACUGCCAUCCUCUUCCAGUCACGAUCUGCUAAAUGACAGGAUGAUGGUCCAGUUCAACCGAUGGAGCCAAACCCGAGUAUAUCGAGUCACAAGUGACAUGAGGAGGGAUGCGAAGCAAGAGAGGCUGGACAAAGUGAGGAACAGGUGGGCAGCCAGGAGAAGCUUUUUGGACGAGAAGAGCCAAUUGCCGAAAACAACGUUUUUGUUGCUUGCACAUGAGACAUUGUUUUCCUUCUGCACUGUGAGAAGAACAACAAAACACUCUCUCCACAGUCCUUUUUAAUGCCAUAUUUCAAAACGAGCCCAAAUUCUAUUGAUGUUUGCUUGUUUGCAUAGAGUUUGUGUAACUUGCCACGGCUAAUUGUGGCUAACUGAAGCAGUAGUGAGGUGCAUCUCAAUUGCAUAGUAAGGAGCGUCAAAUCAGUUCCGACUUAACCGCAACCCUAAUAGAACUUUCAAGGUAAGUGAGAUAUUUAAGGUUUGCCAGUUCCAUUCCCCCCUGUGAAUUUCCAUGGGGAUUCAAAUCCUGUUCUCUAGAAUCCUAGUCUGUCGUUCUAUCCACAACACCACACUGGGAAUCCCAGGGUACAAAAUGCAGUCCCCUUGAAUUAAAGACAAACAAAGCAAAAACCGAAACACAAAUGACACAUUUUAAAAUACACACGGUGGUGCACUCUUUUUCACCAAACCUGGAAUCCCAACAUUAUUGGCCUGAGCGGAGCUGAUUUGUGUGACAUCCAAAUUAAAAUGGAAUGGGCAGGUUUGGUUUGGGGAUGAAGCAAAAUCGUUCUGAACUGAUUUAGUGACUGAAAUGUUUAAAAGGGGUUUGGAUACAGAGAGCAAGUGGUUGGGAGGGAAGGAGAAUUACUGACCUUUGCCUAAAUAAACCUAUUAUAUGCCAUCUAAGGCCA